GACGAACGCUGGCGGCGUGCUUAACACAUGCAAGUCGAACGGUAAGGCCCUUCGGGGUACGCGAGUGGCGAACGGGUGAGUAACACGUGGGUGAUCUGCCCUGCACUUCGGGAUAAGCCUGGGAAACUGGGUCUAAUACCGGAUAGGACCACUGCCUGCAUGGGUGGUGGUGGAAAGCUUUUGCGGUGUGGGAUGGGCCCGCGGCCUGUCAGGUUGUUGGUGGGGUGAUGGCCUACCAAGGCGACGACGGGUAGCCGGCCUUCGAGGGGGACGCGCCACUCUGCGACGGAGCUACGGCCCAGACUCCUUCGGGAGGCAGCAGUGGGGCAUAUUGAACAGUGGGCGCAAGCCUGAUGCAGCGACGCCGCGUUGGGGAUGUCGGCCUUCGGGUUGUAAACCUCUUUCAGCACCGACGAAGCGCAAGUGACGGUAGGUGCAGAAGAAGGACCGGCCAACUACGUGCCAGCAGCCGCUGUAA
RNAcentral lists this ribosomal RNA (478 nucleotides) under uncultured bacterium. RNAcentral's name for it is "partial 16S ribosomal RNA". It matches the Rfam family "Bacterial small subunit ribosomal RNA", at positions 28 to 523 of the family's 1533-position model. The record is from RNAcentral.